GACGAACGCUGGCGGCGUGCUUAAUACAUGCAAGUCGAACGGACAGGCCAUGCUCUUGUGGGGUGCUCGAGUGGCGAACGGGUGAGUAAAACGCGAGUAACCUGCCCUUGACUUUGGGAUAACUCCAGGAAACUGGGGCUCAUAUCGGAUAGGAGCUCCUGCUGCAUGGUGGGGGUUGGAAAGAUUCGGCGGUUGGGGAUGGACUGGCGGCUUAUCAGCUUGUUGGUGAGGUAGUGGCUUACCAAGGUUUUGACGGGUAGCCGGCCUGAGAGGGUGACCGGCCACAUUGGGACUGAGGUACGGCCCAGACGCCUACGGGAGGCAGCAGUGGGGAAUAUUGCACAAUGGGCGGAAGCCUGAUGCAGCAACGCCGCGUGCGGGAUGACGGCCUUCUGGGUGUAAACCGCUUUCGCCGGUGACGAAGCGUGAGUGACGGUAAUGAGUAAAGAAGCACCGGCUAACUACGUG
This 468-nucleotide ribosomal RNA is filed under the name uncultured bacterium. RNAcentral's name for it is "partial 16S ribosomal RNA". It matches the Rfam family "Bacterial small subunit ribosomal RNA", at positions 28 to 507 of the family's 1533-position model. The record is from RNAcentral.